Molecule: small nuclear RNA, 118 nt
Filed under: Capsicum annuum
Lineage: Eukaryota; Viridiplantae; Streptophyta; Magnoliopsida; Solanales; Solanaceae
Description: U5 spliceosomal RNA
Rfam family: U5 spliceosomal RNA
About the family: U5 RNA is a component of both types of known spliceosome.
Source: Rfam by way of RNAcentral
AGCCACGCAGUGAGCACAAAGCGAAUUAUUCUUUUGCCUUUUACUAAAGAUUACCGCGUGUGCACUGCAAUUAGUGGUAUAUGUCAUUUUUUGGAGGGGUUCUCUUCUUUAGAGUACC